AAAAGGUUGGUUAAUAGUAUGGGUAACGAAGGAGAGUUGAAUAAAUUAUAAAUAAAUAAAAGUACAGUUGGAGUCUGGUACCUUUUGCAUAAUGGCUGUGUAAGAGUGUGUUUAGAUUAUGGUUCCCGAAGCAAAUUGAUUUAUUUAAAUACUAAACAAGUUCAUCGUUUUAUAGCUGUCUUAAGAUAUUUAAAUGGAAGUGAAAUGUUAUUCGGAUUUUGUGAUAGCUGGUUAAUUCAAAAAUGUAUAUAAGUACAGCUUUUAAGGUUAUAUAAGUUAGGAAAAAAUAAAGUUGUUUCAAACUUAGGCUUAAGGAGUGAGGUUUUUGGCGAUAAGGUCGAAAAGAGGAUAAUAGAUUUAAAGGUUAAAUAUUUAACUUUCGAAUAGGGAUUGUGGUGCCCAUUUUUAAAAGGUUUUGAUAAACUGUGAGUUAGAGGUUUUGUGAAUUAAUUGGGAUAAAUCUUUAAAAGAAAUGAAUUUUAAGUUAAGGAAUUAGAAAUUAAUUGAGAGACUGCACAGAUGAGUAGAAAAAUGAGUUUAGAAAGCUUUAGAGUAAAAAUUUUUAAUUUUUUGGGGCUAUAAAGGAUUAAUAUGGUUUAGUUGUAAUGGAAAAAAGGAACUCGGCAAAAUAGGGUGUCGCCUGUUUAACAAAAACACCGCCAGCAGUAAGUGAUUGUUGGUAGUACCUGCUCAGUGCCCUGAAUAAGGGUAAACAGCCGCUGUAUUUUGACGGUGCUAAGGUAGCGAAAUUCCUAGCCUUUUAAUUGGAGGCCUGCAUGAAUGGUUUGACGAGCGCUCAACUGUCUCUUUUCCGUGUGUAUUGAAAUUAGCUUCUGUGUGAAAAGACACAGAUGGUUGAGUAAGACGAAAAGACCCUGUGCAACUUUACUAGGUAGGUAGGUUGACUAUUAUAAAGUUUAGCUGGGGCAGCUAGGGAAAAGGUAAAACUUCCCCAUUGAUUGUAUACUGAUAGGUUUUGAUCCAAUUAGUAGAUUGAUCAGUAGAAAAGUUACGCCAGGGAUAACAGCGUUAUCCUUCUGUGGAGGUCUUAUUUGCAGGGGGGAUUGCGACCUCGAUGUUGAAUUAGGGAUAUAGCGGGAAGGCGCAGCGGCUUUUCUUGUAGGUCUGUUCGACCUUUAAAACCCUACAUGAUUUGAGUUCAGAACGGCGUAAGCCAGUUCGGUUUCUAUCUUCUCAAUUUUGGUUUAAAGCAUUCCGGCUUGUACGAAAGGAUCGUGGGGGUGAUAUAGUAAUAUUAAGGAUUAGAAUAACAUCUAAGGAUGAUUUAAAGAUGACGUAACUGGUUUAU
Molecule: ribosomal RNA, 1309 nt
Filed under: Atrina pectinata
Lineage: Eukaryota; Metazoa; Mollusca; Bivalvia; Pterioida; Pinnidae
Description: 16S ribosomal RNA
Rfam family: Bacterial large subunit ribosomal RNA
Source: RNAcentral